RNAcentral lists this ribosomal RNA (632 nucleotides) under uncultured bacterium. Its description in RNAcentral is "bacterial SSU rRNA". It matches the Rfam family "Bacterial small subunit ribosomal RNA", at positions 144 to 794 of the family's 1533-position model. The record is from RNAcentral.
UAACGGCUGGAAACGGUCGCUAAUACCGCAUAACGUACGGAUGGGACAUCCUGUCUGUACCAAAGAUUUAUCGCUCGAAGAUGGGCUCGCGUCCGAUUAGGUAGUUGGUGAGGUAACGGCCCACCAAGCCGACGAUCGGUAGCCGGACUGAGAGGUUGAACGGCCACAUUGGGACUGAGACACGGCCCAGACUCCUACGGGAGGCAGCAGUGGGGGAUAUUGCACAAUGGGGGAAACCCUGAUGCAGCGACGCCGCGUGUGGGAAGACGGUCUUCUGGAUUGUAAACCACUUUCCCCAGUNACGAAAAUGACGGUACCUGGGGAGGAAGCUCCGGCUAACUACGUGCCAGCAGCCGCGGUAAUACGUAGGGAGCAAGCGUUGUCCGGAAUUACUGGGUGUAAAGGGAGCGUAGGCGGGGAUGCAAGUUGGGUGUCAAAACUACCGGCUCAACCGAUAGUCGCACUCAAAACUGCAGCUCUUGAGUGAAGUAGAGGCAGGCGGAAUUCCUAGUGUAGCGGUGAAAUGCGUAGAUAUUAGGAGGAACACCAGUGGCGAAGGCGGCCUGCUGGGCUUUUACUGACGCUGAGGCUCGAAAGUGUGGGGAGCAAACAGGAUUAGAUACCCUGGUAGU